This is a non-coding RNA of Camellia sinensis, 849 nucleotides long. The record is from RefSeq and is a predicted model, not a curated record. Lineage: Eukaryota; Viridiplantae; Streptophyta; Magnoliopsida; Ericales; Theaceae.
CUCAAAAUCACUUCUUUAGAAGCCGUCACAAUACCAAGCAAGAUGUUAGAACCUUGUAUCCAGCUCAAUUUGCUUUAAUUGAAAGGCUAAUUUAAUCUGAAUUUCUAUUAAUAUUGUAGAAGGUAUAGUGUUGAGUGGUUUGAUGCCCUGAUAAUCUAUAAUUGUAUCUUUUCAAUCCAAGCAAUUGUUUGAACUUCGUAUGUGAGAGAUAUCUACUUUUGAUUCUUUGCUUUAUAUAUUUUUUGACAAAAAAGGGGGCCAAAUUGUUUGUUUAGAGGAACAACAGAGUAAGGAAAUGUAUUUAGGGUCGAGAAUAUGUGCUAAGAAAAAGAAGAAAGACAAUGAAAGGAGAAAAAAAUUGAGAGGAACUCUUAUCACAUCUGUAUGACUUUCAAGUGUCAACUUUGUUGUAGGUGUAAAAUUCCGAACAAAGGGCAUCAGAUCUAUUUUCGACGACCACAAUUUCAACAUGAAGGAAAACCAAAUUCUUAUCAAGAUGGUGUAGCUGGUAAAGUUAUUCAAAAAGGAAAAGGUAAUCCUGUUCGAGAAAUUAAUACACAGAUGAGCAGGGGAGACUAGUUAAUCAACAUGCUGUAGCAGGUAUGGGAGGAACUGCAUUUCCAUUCACACAUGCCCACAUUGAGUGAGAGAGAGAGAGAGAGAGAGCAUUAGCAUAAUGGUGGUAAACUCAUUUAUGAUAUAAAAAAGCUCACAAUUUCAGUUUUUAUUUAGCUGUUUUAAGUUAAAACUUCCUUGGUCUAGUUACUUCAAUUCACAUUUGUUGGUGUUUUCUUUUGCGAAAUUAGUGAUAUGAAUGUGUCAAGCCAUAACAAUGGUUUUGUUUUGUUU